AUCCAACUAACGAGUCUCAAAUAAGACUAAACGCGCGUUCUGCAU
This is a non-coding RNA of Schistosoma mansoni, 45 nucleotides long. The record is from Rfam. NCBI's taxonomy places the organism in Eukaryota, Metazoa, Platyhelminthes, Trematoda, Strigeidida, Schistosomatidae.